UUUCAGCCCUGGCUUGUCCUUGUGUUGUCCUCUGUCCAUGCCUCUUCCCCUCCGUCCAUGGCUCUUUUGGCAGCUGCUCAACACCAGCUGAUGGGAAAUACAAGCGAGGACCAGCAGGAUGGUAGCAUUGACCCUUCCUUUGGAUUACACAACCUGUGAGCUCUGUUCGUCUGGAGGAUCCUACAAGACUCUGCAUUUCCUGCAGAGGUAGUCUGCAUAGUUGAUUUCUGACAGUCCAGCUUCAGAGAAGUCCAGGAGGUUCUGCUUCCCUUCUGCCUCUAACAGGAUUAUUCCCCUCAGGUGGUGUGUGCUACUAGACGUCUAUAAAGACAACCCUGUCCCUCUUCAUGGAUUAGUAAAAAUAAGACACUAUCUAAUAACUUCAACUCCUGAGUGGAAAUAAAUGGAAGUCUUCCUGGAGGACCUACCCUACCAGGAUGUUGGACAUCUCUGAAUUUCUGGUGACCUGGUAUGUGGCUGAAGUUAGGCCACUAAAGCCUCUUCUGGCACAGCCUUUCCUUCUCCACCGUCAUUGAGACAGCCAAGAAGAUGAUUGUUACCACUCCCAUCAGCACCCAGGAGAAGAUGAUGCUAAAUCCGACGCCGCUGUGGAGAAGGACAGACAGGCCCUCAGUUUCAAGCUUCAGGCUGCUCUGUGCUGAUUUUACUGGAAGACCUAACUGGACUGGACAACCUGUUACAUCUUGAGAGCAUUUGACCAGCAUCAUCCAGCUUCCCCAG
This is a non-coding RNA of Epinephelus lanceolatus (giant grouper), 741 nucleotides long. The record is from RefSeq and is a predicted model, not a curated record. NCBI's taxonomy places the organism in Eukaryota, Metazoa, Chordata, Actinopteri, Perciformes, Serranidae.